AUCUGAAAGCAGGAUCAGAAUGAGCUCUCCCGAGUGAUGCAUUGGGGGAAAAGACUUCAGGAGCAGAUUGUAUUUAUAUAGACACACCUGACUUGCCUAGGUGUUCAGCAGACAGACCUGCUUUGCCAAAGUGAUCAAUUUUGGCAGGUUUUCGGUUGCAAUUCACUUUCAUAUUGAGUGCAGGGGGAUGGUAGUUGGACCCAUGUGGAUGCACCUCUGAACUCGGACUCUUCACUGACUAAGGACAACCAACUUGCUGCUUUAGGUGACGCCCACUGCUAACACUUCAGGUACAACAAUGGAAAAUCCAGACAGGGUGGAUGGCCCGUCAGUGAGGACAAU
Long non-coding RNA from Gopherus evgoodei (Goodes thornscrub tortoise), 342 nucleotides. RefSeq lists it as uncharacterized. The record is from RefSeq and is a predicted model, not a curated record. Lineage: Eukaryota; Metazoa; Chordata; Testudines; Testudinidae. The transcript is spliced from 3 exons.